Molecule: ribosomal RNA, 335 nt
Filed under: uncultured bacterium
Lineage: Bacteria
Description: bacterial SSU rRNA
Rfam family: Bacterial small subunit ribosomal RNA
Source: RNAcentral
AGACGCACUCGUGUCAGCAGCCGCGGUAAUACGGAGGGGGCUAGCGUUGUUCGGAAUUACUGGGCGUAAAGCGUACGUAGGCGGCUUUGUAGUUAGAGGUGAAGCCGGGCUCACCCGGAUGCUUAGACUGCAUCGCUUGAAUCGCGGAGAGGUGAGUGGAAUUCCGAGUGUAGAGGUGAAAUUCGUAGAUAUUCGGAAGAACACCAGUGGCGAAGGCGGCUCACUGGACGCGUAUUGACGCUGAGGUACGAAAGCGUGGGGAGCAAACAGGAUUAGAUACCCUGGUAGUCCACGCCGUAAACGAUGAUAACUAGCUGUCCGGGCACUUGGGUGCC